CCUACGGGUGGCAGCAGUGGGGAAUAUUGCACAAUGGGGGAAACCCUGAUGCAGCGACGCCGCGUGAGUGAAGAAGUAUUUCGGUACGUAAAGCUCUAUCAGCAGGGAAGAAAAUGACGGUACCUGACUAAGAAGCCCCGGCUAACUACGUGCCAGCAGCCGCGGUAAUACGUAGGGGGCAAGCGUUAUCCGGAUUUACUGGGUGUAAAGGGAGCGUAGACGGCAGCGCAAGUCUGGAGUGAAAUCCCAUGGCUUAACCAUGGAACUGCUGUGGAAACUGUGCAGCUAGAGUGCAGGAGAGGUAAGCGGAAUGCCUAGUGUAGCGGUGAAAUGCGUAGAUAUUAGGAGGAACACCAGUGGCGAAGGCGGCUUACUGGACUGUAACUGACGUUGAGGCUCGAAAGCGUGGGGAGCAAACAGGAUUAGAUACCCGAGUAGUC
Molecule: ribosomal RNA, 440 nt
Filed under: uncultured bacterium
Lineage: Bacteria
Description: partial 16S ribosomal RNA
Rfam family: Bacterial small subunit ribosomal RNA
Source: RNAcentral